RNAcentral lists this ribosomal RNA (254 nucleotides) under uncultured bacterium. Its description in RNAcentral is "partial 16S ribosomal RNA". It matches the Rfam family "Bacterial small subunit ribosomal RNA", at positions 524 to 776 of the family's 1533-position model. The record is from RNAcentral.
UACGUAGGGUGCGAGCGUUAAUCGGAAUUACUGGGCGUAAAGCGUGCGCAGGCGGUUUUGUAAGCCAGAUGUGAAAGCCCCGGGCUCAACCUGGGAAUGGCAUUUGAUACUCUGAGGCUGGAGUACGGGAGAGGAGAGUGGAAUUCCCAGUGUAGAGGUGAAAUUCGUAGAUAUUGGGAAGAACACCGGUGGCGAAGGCGGCUCUCUGGACCGUAACUGACGCUGAGGCGCGAAAGCGUGGGGGAGCAAACAGG